Jaculus jaculus (lesser Egyptian jerboa) is the source of this 398-nucleotide long non-coding RNA. RefSeq lists it as uncharacterized. The record is from RefSeq and is a predicted model, not a curated record. The transcript is spliced from 3 exons. Lineage: Eukaryota; Metazoa; Chordata; Mammalia; Rodentia; Dipodidae.
GCCCCUUUAAAGAUUCCAGCUGGUGCUCAGGUCAACAGAGCACUUAGCAGCACUCAGCUGGUCAGGAUCAACGCUUCCGUCAGGGUUCGAAGCCAUGGCCAGCAAGGGCAUGAAGGACAUGAAGCAGCAGGCGGAAGAUGGUGCCUCACGGGCGGGUCAAGUGGUGGAUCGCGUCGCUGAGGGAGGACAGAAAGACACGGACAAGUCCACCAAGGAGCCGAUCGACAAGGAUGCCAACCAGGGAUCUGACAAAGCGGGCAAAAAUCUCAGCCACCAGAAGUGACACGAGACAGAUCCCAGCCCCCCCCCCCCCAGAUGCCCUUUGGCAGAACACUGGUCCUGAGCUGUGGCAGCAGCUACCGUUGGUCUGCCCUUAAAUAAAGCGCAUGUACGUCGUC